RNAcentral lists this ribosomal RNA (434 nucleotides) under uncultured bacterium. Its description in RNAcentral is "partial 16S ribosomal RNA". It matches the Rfam family "Bacterial small subunit ribosomal RNA", at positions 29 to 507 of the family's 1533-position model. The record is from RNAcentral.
AGCGAACGCUGGCGGCAGGCCUAACACAUGCAAGUCGAACGAACCUUUCGGGGUUAGUGGCGGACGGGUGAGUAACACGUGGGAACGUGCCUUUAGGUUCGGAAUAACUCAGGGAAACUUGUGCUAAUACCGAAUGUGCCCUUCGGGGGAAAGAUUAAUCGCCUUUAGAGCGGCCCGCGUCUGAUUAGCUAGUUGGUUGGGGUAAUGGCUCACCAAGGCGACGAUCAGUAGCUGGUCUGAGAGGAUGAUCAGCCACAUUGGGACUGAGACACGGCCCAAACUCCUACGGGAGGCAGCAGUGGGGAAUCUUGCGCAAUGGGCGAAAGCCUGACGCAGCCAUGCCGCGUGAAUGAUGAAGGUCUUAGGAUUGUAAAAUUCUUUCACCGGGGACGAUAAUGACGGUACCCGGAGAAGAAGCCCCGGCUAACUUCGUG